RNAcentral lists this ribosomal RNA (760 nucleotides) under uncultured Glomeromycotina. RNAcentral's name for it is "SSU rRNA". It matches the Rfam family "Eukaryotic small subunit ribosomal RNA", at positions 339 to 1100 of the family's 1831-position model. The record is from RNAcentral. Lineage: Eukaryota; Fungi; Glomeromycota.
GCCUACCAUGGUGGUAACGGGUAACGGGGUGUUAGGGCACGACACCGGAGAGGGAGCCUGAGAAACGGCUACCACAUCCAAGGAUGGCAGCAGGUGCGCAAAUUACCCAAUCCCGACACGGGGAGGUAGUGACAAUAAAUAACAAUACGGGGUUCUUUAGGAUCUCGUAAUUGGAAUGAGUACAAUUUAAAUCUCUUAACGAGGAACAAUUGGAGGGCAAGUCUGGUGCCAGCAGCCGCGGUAAUUCCAGCUCCAAUAGCGUAUAUUAAAGUUGUUGCAGUUAAAAAGCUCGUAGUCGAAUUUCGGGGUUAGUAGGUUGGUCAUGCCUCUGGUAUGUACUGGUCUCACUGAUUCCUCCUUCCUGAUGAGCCGUAAUGCCAUUAAUUUGGUGUUGCGGGGAAUUUGGACUGUUACUUUGAAAAAAUUAGAGUGUUUAAAGCAAGCUAACGCUUGAAUACAUUAGCAUGGAAUAAUGAAAUAGGACGUUUGAUCCUAUUUUGUUGGUUUCUAGGAUUGACGUAAUGAUUAAUAGGGAUAGUUGGGGGCAUUAGUAUUCAAUUGUCAGAGGUGAAAUUCUUGGAUUUAUUGAAGACUAACUACUGCGAAAGCAUUUGCCAAGGAUGUUUUCAUUAAUCAAGAACGAAAGUUAGGGGAUCGAAGACGAUCAGAUACCGUCGUAGUCUUAACCAUAAACUAUGCCGACUAGGGAUCGGAUGAUGUUAAUUUUUUAAUGACUCAUUCGGCGCCUUACGGGAAACCA